AUUGAACGCUGGCGGCAUGGCUAAAACAUGCAAGUCGAGGGCGAUUCCACUUCGGUGGAUGAGACCGGCGGAAGGGCUAGUAAUAGUAUCGAACGUGCCCCAAGGUGGGGGAUAGCCGCGGGAAACUGCGGGUAAUACCCCAUGUGCUCUUCGGAGGAAAGCUCCGGCGCCUCGGGAGCGGCGAUACUCCUAUCAGGUAGUUGGCGGGGUAAAGGCCCACCAAGCCUAAGACGGGUAGCGGGUGUGAGAGCAUGGCCCGCAGCAUCGAGACUGAGACACUGCUCGGACUCCUACGGGAGGCAG
RNAcentral lists this ribosomal RNA (303 nucleotides) under uncultured Planctomycetota bacterium. RNAcentral's name for it is "bacterial SSU rRNA". It matches the Rfam family "Bacterial small subunit ribosomal RNA", at positions 30 to 351 of the family's 1533-position model. The record is from RNAcentral. Lineage: Bacteria; Pseudomonadati; Planctomycetota.